Long non-coding RNA from Populus euphratica (Euphrates poplar), 694 nucleotides. RefSeq lists it as uncharacterized. Lineage: Eukaryota; Viridiplantae; Streptophyta; Magnoliopsida; Malpighiales; Salicaceae. The transcript is spliced from 2 exons. The record is from RefSeq and is a predicted model, not a curated record.
AGGGAACACAAUAGAAUCCCCAUCAUAGCGGAGACACAAUGAUGUCCUUUACCCUAGGAGAACGUUGGAUGACACAAAUAGAAAAGGACAAUUUUCACAAUGAAAAAUGUCAAUAUUGUGGGAUAGAAGGCCACAUUGCCAAGAUAUGUUGGUGGAUACUGAAGAAAUCUUCCAACAAUAAAGAAAUCCCACAUGCACUUGCAGCUUUAACUUUUUACAACACUUUAGCAGAAACAGAAUGGACAACCGACACAGGUGCCUCCAACCAUAUGAUAGGACAAUCAGGAACAAAAGACAGGACAAUCAGUAAUCAUAGGGGCUCACAAGGGUGAUCUUUAUGUCCUUCCAACUUCACCAGAACUAUAUUUCUUAACUAUAUUUAAAACAGGUUCUAUUGAAGUAUGACACCAGCAUCAAGAACACCCACAAUUCUUAGCCUUACAAUUGUUGAAAAAUAAGGGCUUGAUAGAUGUAACGGGAAAGUUGAAAUCCGAGCAUCUAUGUGAUAGUUGUCAAUUAGGAAAAAUAAACAGAUUACCAUUCUCAUGUUCGGAAAAUUCUAGCACUAGUAUUUUUGAUAAAAUUCAUUGUGACUUAUAAGGACCUUCUCCUGUUUUAUCUAUUGGCAAAUUUCAAUAUUAUGCAUGUUUAGUAGAUGAUUUUUUUGAAAUAUACAUGGAUUAUACCCUUGUGA